Molecule: ribosomal RNA, 506 nt
Filed under: Coccinella transversalis (transverse ladybird beetle)
Lineage: Eukaryota; Metazoa; Arthropoda; Insecta; Coleoptera; Coccinellidae
Description: partial 16S ribosomal RNA
Rfam family: Bacterial large subunit ribosomal RNA
Source: RNAcentral
UUUUUGAAUAUAAUUUAAAGUAGGGCCUGCCCMCUGAAGAUUUAAAGGGCCGCAGUAUUUUGACUGUGCAAAGGUAGCAUAAUCAUUAGUUUUUUAAUUGAAAGCUUGUAUGAAUGGUUUGAUGAAAAAAUAACUUUCUAUACUUAAAUUUUUAAGAAUUUUAUAUUUAAGUUAAAAAGCUUAAAUGUUUUAAUUAGACGAGAAGACCCUAUAGAGUUUUAUUUUAUUUAUUUAAUAAAAUUUUAGAAUUAAUUUUUUUUUAAUUUAAAUAAAAUUUGAUUGGGGUGAUUGAAAAAUUAAAUGAACUUUUUUUUUAUUUUUACAUAUAUAUAUGAAUUUAUGAUCCAUAGAAAUGAUUACAAGAAUAAAUUACCUUAGGGAUAACAGCGUUAUUUUUUUUUAGAGUUCAAAUCGAAAAAAAAGAUUGCGACCUCGAUGUUGGAUUAAAAUUAAUUUUAGGGGUAGAAGCUUAAAAAUUUGGUCUGUUCGACCAUUAAAAUUUUACA